UACGGAGGAUUCGAACGUUAUCCGGAUUUAUUGGGUUUAAAGGGUGCGUAGGCGGACUUGUAAGUCAGUGGUGAAAUUCUAUAGCUCAACUAUAUGGACAGCCAUUGAUACUGCAAGACUAGAGUAAUUUUGACGAAGGCGGAAUGAGACAAGUAGCGGUGAAAUGCAUAGAUAUGUCUCAGAACACCGAUUGCGAAGGCAGCUUUCGAAACAUUAACUGACGCUGAGGCACGAAAGUGUGGGUAUCAAACAGG
RNAcentral lists this ribosomal RNA (254 nucleotides) under uncultured bacterium. RNAcentral describes it as "partial 16S ribosomal RNA". It matches the Rfam family "Bacterial small subunit ribosomal RNA", at positions 524 to 776 of the family's 1533-position model. The record is from RNAcentral.